RNAcentral lists this ribosomal RNA (440 nucleotides) under uncultured bacterium. RNAcentral's name for it is "partial 16S ribosomal RNA". It matches the Rfam family "Bacterial small subunit ribosomal RNA", at positions 338 to 795 of the family's 1533-position model. The record is from RNAcentral.
CCUACGGGAGGCAGCAGUAGGGAAUAUUGCUCAAUGGGGGAAACCCUGAAGCAGCAACGCCGCGUGGAGGAUGAAGGUUUUCGGAUUGUAAACUCCUUUUGUUAGAGAAGAUAAUGACGGUAUCUAACGAAUAAGCACCGGCUAACUCCGUGCCAGCAGCCGCGGUAAUACGGAGGGUGCAAGCGUUACUCGGAAUCACUGGGCGGAAAGAGCGCGUAGGCGGGAGAGCAAGUCAGAUGUGAAAUCCUAUGGCUUAACCAUAGAACUGCAGUUGAAACUGUUAUUCUAGAGUAUGGGAGAGGUAGGUGGAAUUCUUGGUGGAGGGGUAAAAUCCGUAGAGAUCAAGAGGAAUACUCAUUGCGAAGGCGACCUGCUAGAACAUAACUGACGCUGAUGCGCGAAAGCGUGGGGAGCAAACAGGAUUAGAUACCCGGGUAGUC